UCCUUUGUUUUGUGCCAGUCUUGCAUGGAUUGCUGGAUCAUGCAAUUGGGACCAGAUGAGUGAUUGAACUGGCUUUUACUUUUUGCUUGACUGCCAGGUUUAACAGUGGAUACAACAGUCCCAUAACUGUGACAACAUCUGGCCAUCUUGGCAGGGCAAGUCUAGUCUCUCUGCAUUGCUUUAUCCUACCUUCUGGAAGUGCAUAAGGAAAUCGUCAGUUUUUAUUUCGUUUGCACCUGUGACCCUACUUCUGGGUAAAACCUUUGAGGAAAAGCUGAAUUGUGUAGCUGACAGAAGCAGCAUAGCUGUCCUAGAACAUCAGACAGGCAAAAGAGCAGUAUCAAACUUGAAUAAAUCAACUAUGGAUGCCCGUUUUUUGAAUAAGUUUUGAAUAUUCUGCUGACAGACUGAUUUCUUCAUCUUAAUGGUGAUUUUCCAGCUUAGUAAAGUUUUCCCUUUGUUUCUGCAUUCCAAAGAGGCUCCAGCUGCACACCUCAUAAGCUGGUGUUAUAAAGAGAAGCUCAAGAAACUUUUAGAAAGUUCACAAGCUGGGAAUAUUUUCACUCAACACAAUAACAGGACCAUUCAUGUGCUUCUGCUGGGAGACAUAUCCUGUACUGCUUUACCUCUC
Molecule: long non-coding RNA, 631 nt
Filed under: Cyanistes caeruleus (blue tit)
Lineage: Eukaryota; Metazoa; Chordata; Aves; Passeriformes; Paridae
Description: lncRNA (ENSCCEG00000013392.1)
Source: RNAcentral